CUAGAAGUUUGUUUAAUCAAAUCCCUGUGUUAGAGAUCUCAACAUUCAAAUUAUGUAUCUAAUUAAUGUAGUUCUGCUUUAAUAUAUAAUGGAUCUGCCAGUAACCUCAGUAUCACAGGAAGUUUAAGAAAUUUUAAACAUUAGGACCAAAAGUACUAGAUUGUUCAUCUCUUACAUUACUUGAAGCUUCAAAGCUUCAUCUUUUAGUAGAAACUCUAGUAUCUAAGAAUUUUCCCAGCUUUUGCCCUUUUGGGGUUGAGAUUCACAUUUCAUGUUUCACAUGCAAAGAAUAUCUACAUCAUUAUAAAUAUAUAUUUUAUUUAGAAUGAUUCAGCUAGAAAUAUUGAUGUAACCCAAAGUCUGUGUUACUUCCUGGCAUGAAUUUCAUCUCUAAGGCUACUGCUCUAAAAGUAAUUUUGAAGGCAUAGG
This 429-nucleotide long non-coding RNA is filed under the name Homo sapiens (human). RNAcentral's name for it is "HSALNT0210769". The record is from RNAcentral. Lineage: Eukaryota; Metazoa; Chordata; Mammalia; Primates; Hominidae.